UACGUAGGGGGCAAGCGUUGUCCGGAUUUAUUGGGCGUAAAGCGCGUGUAGGCGGCCAGGUAGGUCGGUUGUGAAAAUUGGAGGCUCAACCUCCAGACGUCGAUCGAAACCAUCUGGCUAGAGUCCGGAAGAGGAGAAUGGAAUUCCAGGUGUAGCGGUGAAAUGCGUAGAUAUCUGGAGGAAUACCGGUGGCGAAGGCGGCAUCCUGGACCGACAUUGACGCUGAACGGCGAAAGCUAGGGGAGCAAACGGG
RNAcentral lists this ribosomal RNA (253 nucleotides) under uncultured bacterium. Its description in RNAcentral is "partial 16S ribosomal RNA". It matches the Rfam family "Bacterial small subunit ribosomal RNA", at positions 524 to 776 of the family's 1533-position model. The record is from RNAcentral.